RNAcentral lists this transfer RNA (69 nucleotides) under bovine gut metagenome. It matches the Rfam family "tRNA". From Rfam's summary of the family: Transfer RNA (tRNA) molecules are approximately 80 nucleotides in length. Their secondary structure includes four short double-helical elements and three loops (D, anti-codon, and T loops). The record is from RNAcentral.
UGCUAUAGCUCAAUUGGAUAGAGCGACAGCCUCCUAAGCUGUAGGUUAUGAGUUCAAUUCCCAUUAGCA